This 2771-nucleotide ribosomal RNA is filed under the name Klebsiella pneumoniae 1162281. RNAcentral describes it as "bacterial LSU rRNA". It matches the Rfam family "Bacterial large subunit ribosomal RNA". The record is from RNAcentral. Lineage: Bacteria; Pseudomonadati; Pseudomonadota; Gammaproteobacteria; Enterobacterales; Enterobacteriaceae.
AGCGUACACGGUGGAUGCCCUGGCAGUCAGAGGCGAUGAAGGACGUGCUAAUCUGCGAAAAGCGUCGGUAAGGUGAUAUGAACCGUUAUAGCCGGCGAUGUCCGAAUGGGGAAACCCAGUGCAAUUCGUUGCACUAUCGUUAACUGAAUACAUAGGUUAACGAGGCGAACCGGGGGAACUGAAACAUCUAAGUACCCCGAGGAAAAGAAAUCAACCGAGAUUCCCCCAGUAGCGGCGAGCGAACGGGGAGCAGCCCAGAGUCUGAAUCAGCUUGUGUGUUAGUGGAACGGUCUGGAAAGUCCGACGGUACAGGGUGAUAGUCCCGUACACCAAAAUGCACAGGCUGUGAACUCGAAGAGUAGGGCGGGACACGUGGUAUCCUGUCUGAAUAUGGGGGGACCAUCCUCCAAGGCUAAAUACUCCUGACUGACCGAUAGUGAACCAGUACCGUGAGGGAAAGGCGAAAAGAACCCCGGCGAGGGGAGUGAAAAAGAACCUGAAACCGUGUACGUACAAGCAGUGGGAGCACCUUCGGGUGUGACUGCGUACCUUUUGUAUAAUGGGUCAGCGACUUAUAUUCUGUAGCAAGGUUAACCGUAUAGGGGAGCCGCAGGGAAACCGAGUCUUAACUGGGCGUUAAGUUGCAGGGUAUAGACCCGAAACCCGGUGAUCUAGCCAUGGGCAGGUUGAAGGUUGGGUAACACUAACUGGAGGACCGAACCGACUAAUGUUGAAAAAUUAGCGGAUGACUUGUGGCUGGGGGUGAAAGGCCAAUCAAACCGGGAGAUAGCUGGUUCUCCCCGAAAGCUAUUUAGGUAGCGCCUCGUGAACUCAUCUUCGGGGGUAGAGCACUGUUUCGGCUAGGGGGUCAUCCCGACUUACCAACCCGAUGCAAACUACGAAUACCGAAGAAUGUUAUCACGGGAGACACACGGCGGGUGCUAACGUCCGUCGUGAAGAGGGAAACAACCCAGACCGCCAGCUAAGGUCCCAAAGUCAUGGUUAAGUGGGAAACGAUGUGGGAAGGCACAGACAGCCAGGAUGUUGGCUUAGAAGCAGCCAUCAUUUAAAGAAAGCGUAAUAGCUCACUGGUCGAGUCGGCCUGCGCGGAAGAUGUAACGGGGCUAAACCAUGCACCGAAGCUGCGGCAGCGACACUAUGUGUUGUUGGGUAGGGGAGCGUUCUGUAAGCCUGCGAAGGUGACCUGUGAGGGUUGCUGGAGGUAUCAGAAGUGCGAAUGCUGACAUAAGUAACGAUAAAGCGGGUGAAAAGCCCGCUCGCCGGAAGACCAAGGGUUCCUGUCCAACGUUAAUCGGGGCAGGGUGAGUCGACCCCUAAGGCGAGGCCGAAAGGCGUAGUCGAUGGGAAACAGGUUAAUAUUCCUGUACUUGGUGUUACUGCGAAGGGGGGACGGAGAAGGCUAUGUUAGCCGGGCGACGGUUGUCCCGGUUUAAGCAUGUAGGCUGAUUGUCCAGGCAAAUCCGGAUAAUCAAGGCUGAGGUGUGAUGACGAGGCACUACGGUGCUGAAGUAACAAAUGCCCUGCUUCCAGGAAAAGCCUCUAAGCAUCAGGUAACAUCAAAUCGUACCCCAAACCGACACAGGUGGUCAGGUAGAGAAUACCAAGGCGCUUGAGAGAACUCGGGUGAAGGAACUAGGCAAAAUGGUGCCGUAACUUCGGGAGAAGGCACGCUGGUGUGUAGGUGAAGUCCCUGCGGAUGGAGCUGAGACCAGUCGAAGAUACCAGCUGGCUGCAACUGUUUAUUAAAAACACAGCACUGUGCAAACACGAAAGUGGACGUAUACGGUGUGACGCCUGCCCGGUGCCGGAAGGUUAAUUGAUGGGGUUAUCCGUAAGGAGAAGCUCUUGAUCGAAGCCCCGGUAAACGGCGGCCGUAACUAUAACGGUCCUAAGGUAGCGAAAUUCCUUGUCGGGUAAGUUCCGACCUGCACGAAUGGCGUAAUGAUGGCCAGGCUGUCUCCACCCGAGACUCAGUGAAAUUGAACUCGCUGUGAAGAUGCAGUGUACCCGCGGCAAGACGGAAAGACCCCGUGAACCUUUACUAUAGCUUGACACUGAACAUUGAGCCUUGAUGUGUAGGAUAGGUGGGAGGCUUUGAAGCGUGGACGCCAGUCUGCGUGGAGCCAACCUUGAAAUACCACCCUUUAAUGUUUGAUGUUCUAACGUUGGCCCCUUACCGGGGUUGCGGACAGUGUCUGGUGGGUAGUUUGACUGGGGCGGUCUCCUCCCAAAGCGUAACGGAGGAGCACGAAGGUUAGCUAAUCCUGGUCGGACAUCAGGAGGUUAGUGCAAUGGCAUAAGCUAGCUUGACUGCGAGCGUGACGGCGCGAGCAGGUGCGAAAGCAGGUCAUAGUGAUCCGGUGGUUCUGAAUGGAAGGGCCAUCGCUCAACGGAUAAAAGGUACUCCGGGGAUAACAGGCUGAUACCGCCCAAGAGUUCAUAUCGACGGCGGUGUUUGGCACCUCGAUGUCGGCUCAUCACAUCCUGGGGCUGAAGUAGGUCCCAAGGGUAUGGCUGUUCGCCAUUUAAAGUGGUACGCGAGCUGGGUUUAGAACGUCGUGAGACAGUUCGGUCCCUAUCUGCCGUGGGCGCUGGAGAAUUGAGGGGGGCUGCUCCUAGUACGAGAGGACCGGAGUGGACGCAUCACUGGUGUUCGGGUUGUCAUGCCAAUGGCACUGCCCGGUAGCUAAAUGCGGAAGAGAUAAGUGCUGAAAGCAUCUAAGCACGAAACUUGCCCCGAGAUGAGUUCU